UGAAUGGUAUGUACGUUCCUUUUGGUUGC
This 29-nucleotide small RNA is filed under the name Bombyx mori (domestic silkworm). Its description in RNAcentral is "ovarian small RNA-8011". Lineage: Eukaryota; Metazoa; Arthropoda; Insecta; Lepidoptera; Bombycidae. The record is from RNAcentral.